UCCUGCUAAUUAGAGGAGAUCAUUUUGCCAUGGGCAGACCUUCAAGCAGAAUUAAGGAAAUAAGACCUUUUGCUUGUUUGUUUUUAAUAAUUGUCAGACAGGAACAUUUACUGGACAAGUAUUGCACAGAUAUUGAUUCACAACCGACUGCGUGAUAUUAAAAGUGAAGUCAGUGUCACCAAAGCUGAUAAGUAUCUCUCUAUAUCAAGGAGGAAGAGGUUCAGCCUUUUCCUCCAUUUGUAGGUUUUCUGCCUGAGGGAAGGGGACUCAGCUCAGACCUCUCUGUGGAAUGGGAAAGGUGAUGGAGGUAGAACGGCCAUGGCGAUGUGGAGCCUCGGAGCAUUGUGAGAAGGUCUCCCUGUAAACAGAGGAAGCCAGCCUCAGUUUGAGGAUAUCUCUGCUUCGGACACUGCCAGGCAGCUUUCCUCACUGUAGAAGGUGUGGAUCUCCUGUCCCCGCAGGGUCCCUGCUGCAUCAGAGUAAACAGCCGCAUUUCAGAGGGCAAACUCAGUGCCUAAGGCCCACGGACAAAAAUCUAAAUUCACCAAGCCCUCAGCGCCUUACGCAGUGGUCCCAAGAUCUGUGAGUUUGGAACCAGGAAAAUAUUUACCAGGGGACGACAGCUGCCGUUCCCGAGCAUUUGCUCCCACAUUGGCGCCAUUGGAUGACUUGCCAGACCGGUGAGUUUCAGAGAGGAGCAGUGAGCAGACCCUUUGGUUCUUUACCACCACUGAACUCUCCAUUCCCAGGGCUCUGGAGUGAGGCCCUCGGGACCAGCUAUCAAAGAGGACCGCAGCCGCAGUGGACAUGCACAGCUCCAUUCCCAAUACUCUUCCUCCAGCCUCAGGCACAAUUAUACUUUUUAACCUCCUUCACUUUCAUGUAGGAAAGAUGUCUAAUCACCCAAGAGCGGCGUGGCUGGAUUCUUUGGGAAAGAAGCAGACAGCUAGGCUGCCCCCCAACUCCUGCCAUCCCGAUCCUGCUCCCCUUCCUUCCUGCAGGGCUGUGUCGCUGCUGCAACUGGACAUGUUUCUUUGACUUUUCUAUGCCUCUACCUACCUUUGUGUGUGAUCGGAAGUGCAGGGAGUCCCGAGUGCAUGGCCACUGGGUGACAGCAUGGUGCCCCCUCGCUCCCUGGCCUGUCCCCAGCUCCUGGGGCACGAGGGAGGACCUGGGAGGGGUGAGGACGGCUGGGGCUGCUCCUCUGCCCAGCCCAGGAUG
Long non-coding RNA from Fukomys damarensis (Damara mole-rat), 1221 nucleotides. RefSeq lists it as uncharacterized. NCBI's taxonomy places the organism in Eukaryota, Metazoa, Chordata, Mammalia, Rodentia, Bathyergidae. The record is from RefSeq and is a predicted model, not a curated record. The transcript has 3 exons.